UGGGGUCUUAACUGCCUUCCAAAGGGCCUCAAGCCAUAUCCAGCAGACUUUCUGGGAUCUCAGGUUUUUCCUCCUGAAAAUCCAUGAAAAUCAGUCACCCUGAAAACAAAAGAUUUUCUCCAGGAAGAGUGGACAGUGGAACAAACUAUGAUCUGGCGCAUUUAAAAAAAAAAGAAAGGAAAAAAAAAAGGAAGGAAUUUCAACUACUGAGACCAAGUGCAUUUGGAGUCUGAGAUUUAUCAUACUUUAAAAGCACCUAAUAAGUAUUUUAUACUGUAAAAAAUUUGGAAAUGUUUAGAACAUUAUUAAAUGUUUAAAAUGCAAA
Molecule: long non-coding RNA, 325 nt
Organism: Equus quagga
Lineage: Eukaryota; Metazoa; Chordata; Mammalia; Perissodactyla; Equidae
Exons: 2
Source: RefSeq, a predicted model, not a curated record